This 433-nucleotide ribosomal RNA is filed under the name uncultured bacterium. RNAcentral's name for it is "partial 16S ribosomal RNA". It matches the Rfam family "Bacterial small subunit ribosomal RNA", at positions 29 to 507 of the family's 1533-position model. The record is from RNAcentral.
AACGAACGCUGGCGGCAUGCCUAACACAUGCCAGUCGAACGAGACCUUCGGGUCUAGUGGCGCACGGGUGCGUAACGCGUGGGAACCUGCCCUUAGGUUCGGAAUAACUCCCCGAAAGGGGUGCUAAUACCGGAUAAUGUCUUCGGACCAAAGAUUUAUCGCCUUUGGAUGGGCCCGCGUUGGAUUAGCUAGUUGGUAGGGUAAAAGCCUACCAAGGCGACGAUCCAUAGCUGGUCUGAGAGGAUGAUCAGCCACACUGGGACUGAGACAGGGCCCAGACUCCUACGGGAGGCAGCAGUGGGGAAUAUUGGACAAUGGGCGAAAGCCUGAUCCAGCAAUGCCGCGUGAGUGAUGAAGGCCUUAGGGUUGUAAAGCUCUUUUACCCGGGAUGAUAAUGACAGUACCGGGAGAAUAAGCUCCGGCUAACUCCGUG